CUUUCAGCAGGUGAGGGGUCAGCGUGGGAAGCUUUCAUCCCGAGCUGCUCCUGCAGAGCCUCCCUGGGCACUGCCUCUGCCAGCAGCACCUUCAGGGGGUGCUGGAGCUGCACAGGCUGGUGAAGCCAAGCCCAAGAGAGCCAGAAAAUCUCCGGGAACAGCUGAGCCCCACCAUGGGAGAGCAGGGGCAGGAGGAGCAGCCAUCGGGACAUCUUCAAAUAUCACCCGUGCAAAAUCCAACCCCUCCAAGCAAUCACACCGUGCCUGUUCAAAUGGUGCCUUGGAGGACAGGAAAAUAAACUGACAAAUGCAAAUUGGGGAUGUAAAUCUUGCAGGCUGUGUCUGGGAGGUACCUGUUUAAUUAGCAUCACUGAGCAGCCUUGAUGUGAGUUGCUGUGCUGCCUGUAGCAUGAGGAAUCGGCUCUCGUGUCCUGGGCAUUUGGCACUGAAUUUAUUCGUGUGAUAAAUAAGAAUAUCCCUGCUGGGGUGUGGGCUGGGGAGCUCCUGAGCCUUUGUUUCUCCCUCACCCCCGCCCUUCCCAGGUGCUAAUUGGUACCACAUGAAUAUUUUCAACGCUGAUAAAAAUAUCUGUGAGGGGUUGGAUGCUGGGUCUGGGAAUUUCAGGUGAGGCUUCCCCGGGGUGCUGUGCAGUGCCUGGCCAGGUUUGCACCCCUCUGGCAGGCUCUGUGACCCCUCUCCUGACCUGUCACCGUGGGAGAUGCUGGCAUUAGCAUGAUGGAGUGCUCAGGGAGGAUCAACUUAUUGUUGUGCUACACCCAAACAAUGCCUUUCACUUCCCUCCUUUCUCUUUUUCCUGUCGGUUCCCCAUUCAAGCUUAACAAGAUCAGUGCAGAUAAUUUGUGUAUUCGUGCAGAACAUCC
This is a long non-coding RNA of Prinia subflava (tawny-flanked prinia), 881 nucleotides long. RefSeq lists it as uncharacterized. Lineage: Eukaryota; Metazoa; Chordata; Aves; Passeriformes; Cisticolidae. The record is from RefSeq and is a predicted model, not a curated record. The transcript has 3 exons.